UGGAUCUUCUAGCCCAAAGGUC
This 22-nucleotide unclassified non-coding RNA is filed under the name Mus musculus (house mouse). Its description in RNAcentral is "oocyte_clustered_small_RNA5907". The record is from RNAcentral. Lineage: Eukaryota; Metazoa; Chordata; Mammalia; Rodentia; Muridae.